This is a long non-coding RNA of Malaclemys terrapin pileata, 347 nucleotides long. RefSeq lists it as uncharacterized. Lineage: Eukaryota; Metazoa; Chordata; Testudines; Emydidae. The record is from RefSeq and is a predicted model, not a curated record. The transcript is spliced from 2 exons.
GCCGGACGGGACGCGGAGCUACUGGCCCUUUAAAGGGCCGAAGGGACGGAGAAGCGUCUGGUUCGUGGCCCACGUGCGCGGUGCCCACAGCAAAGUUCACCGAACUAGAAUUCUUUCGGGUCUAGACGUCGAGGGCCGAUAAGAGCAAAAGAGGGUAAACAACGUUUCCAUGGAAACAGGAAGUGGCAGGAAUCCCAAGAAAAUGGCUGCCGUGUUGUGAAUGGAGACAACCCCAUCCAUGUGUGUUUACUCUGUGCGUGGCUAUAUAAAUAGCUACUGCUGGUUUAAAUUUUUCCUGUGAAAGGAUUCCACGGGCCAAGAAUAAAAUAAACACAGCCAUGGCUUCA